CUGAUCACGUGACACAUCCCUACCAGAAACAAGCGCUUGGCCCUCGCCAGUGCUUUGAAGGCACAGACAGACUCUCCACCCCAGCACACAAGCCUUGAAGCCGGGCUCCCAGGCUCCUACGUUUUGGACAUGGAGGCAUUUGUCUUUUCCUACCCUUUUACCAUUUUCUUCUUCCUCAGUUUACCCCAGGGUCCCCCCAAGAUGUCACUGAGCCUCUGGCACAGGGAGAAGGUCAUUUUUUCCAGAGUCCCCAGCUCUUACUGGCAAUACCCUCACUCGAAUGUAAGCUCCGUGGGGCAGGACUUUGUCUUGUCCACUAUGCUGGGCACACACACAGCUGUUUAAUGCGCACAUGUGCGUGAACAGCCCUCCACCUUGUCGACCGUCUCUGUAGAGGCGACCCUGGGGGUUGCGAGAUGGCUUUAACGCUCUUGAUCAGCUCCUGGUCUGUCUGGUUCUUUCCCCUGUGAUCUCCUGGGGGCAGAGAGCAUGAUCCCUUCACCUGCCCCGCCCCCAGCCCAGAGCUGUGCUCCCUGGGCUUGUAUUUUGAACAAAUGAAGGAGUAGCACCUACUGUGUCAGAGGAGCCCACAGGCCCAACAUGCCAUUCCUGUGCACUGCCCAGAACCCCCAACCGCGGGGGCCAGUCUGAGACCUGGGGACCUGCCGCUCUGCCCCAUUUGAUUUUCCAUUGGUCCUGCCCCAGCCCUCCUGUCCCAUCUUUUCUGAAAGCGAAAAUCUCAACUGAGUUGAAAGUGAAUUGUGGCCAGUUGGGUCGUGAAGGGAUGGAGACCUACUCUCCUACUAGGAAGAAUGUGUGUUUGCCUCUUGGCAGAGAGGAUAUUCCGACUGAUCAUUUUUUGCUCCGCCCCAGCUCUGGACGGAACUCCAGCCCCAGGCCCCACCCUGCAAGACAGAGAAGAAUGGUUUUAGGGGUGAGACGUCACUUUUCAAAUCCCUUCUCAAAGGCCACCUGCUCCUGGAGGUCCUUCUGGGUCCCCUGGGGAAAACCGCUGAGGGCUCUGGGCUCCCCCAGGGCAUCACUUACUCCUGCCCCGUCAUGUGUGACCCUGUGCUUGUACAGUCUGAUGGCCCUGUACCCACGAGUGUUCCUUCAGGAGGGGAUUAUGAGCUCUUCCUUUUUAUGUCCAUCUGUUCCUUUAACCAGCCAGGCUUUUAUUCUCUGCCCCGUCCUGGGCUAGGCACCGGGUGCACAGAGUUGAGUUAAAUGUGUGCCCUCCAGCGGCUGACGAUCUAGUGGGGGUCGGACGAUCACCCCUCACCACGCAGCAUGAUCAGAGCUCUAAGGGUGCCAGCACCGGGCUGUGACAGCAGAGAAAGCCCCUGACCAGCCCAGAAGGACACGCAGGUUGGGAAAUAAUUCUUAGAGGAAGUUGACAUCUGAGUGGGGUUUUCGAGGACGGAUAAGAGUCUGUGGAGCCGUAAAGAAGGGAAAGUGGUGUUCCGUCUGGCUGACGACAAGCAGCCCUGGACAGCCCCAUCACAUGAAGGGGCCCACAAAGCAUGCUAAGACAUUUCUUCUUUUUCUUGUUUACCUUUCCAAGGUACCAAAGAAGGGUUAGGCCAAUGUGUGAGACACAGAAGGUGUUGAGAAAGCAGAUGUGUGCCGUCCAUUCAGUUGGAUUUCUCCCUGCUGCCUCCUAACCCCCAUGAGAUUAGAAGCUUCUGGAUGCCAAGGUCCAGAUACUUGUGUGUAUUGGUGUGCAUCCCCAGAGCGAUGAACACAGUCAUGACACUUCACAGACACUCACUCAAUAUUUGCCUUGACCAACAAUUGCACGAUGCAUUGGGUUUGGCCAAGCACCCAUGACAUUGGGUAAUUUUACCUGCCCCACGCUUGCCAAUGUGCUAGGCAUUCUGUAUGUGCUACUCACCUGAUGUCAUUUGUCACCAGUAACAACACAACAAGAUUGAUAUGCCACCUCUAUUUUGCAGGUGAAGAAACUGAGGGUCAGGGGGCAACUGGUAGGUCUAUCUGACUGUGUGACUCUAAACUUCCACAUCGGUUCCCAUUUCACAGGUUAGACAAACUGAGCUCACCUCCCUUGCCCAGGUCGAGAAUAGUGAAUUCAGAAAAAAAGCCCCGAAGCAUGACUUGUUUGACUUGGCAGAGUGUCCAGCUCAAGAGAGUUGGGUACGCACGCAUUUCAUCACUUGCGACCCUUUCAUGGCGAAUCCUCCGGGGACCCAGCAGCUGACCAGCUCCAGCCGUUCAGGCUUGCUGAGGCCAAGCGGGCUCUGGCAGCCUCUGUCUGCCAAGGUCCUGGCCACCAGGGAGGGCCUGGCACCCUCUUGCACACCCCCUGUGCAGCCCUGACUUGGGGAAGACAACCUCCCAGCAAACUGCCUGAAGCGCAAGAGGUGAUAUUAAAGGCAUCCAAGUCGGCCCCCACCCCACCUGGAUCUACGAGGCCACAGGGCUGAGACUUGGCUUUGUCACAGUCCUGUCACCUAUGCCUCAGUUUCCACACCAAUGGAAGGGAAAAACCACAUGGACCUUCCUGGACGUUGGGAGGAUGAAGGGAAAUAGCAACAUCAACCAGCCCAGCUGCAUCAGAGACUCCUGAGGGCACCUUAAAAUGCAGGUUCCAAGGCCGGUCCUGCCAUCUGAUCCUGGGGCCCAGGGAGCUGUAUAUCUAAUGGACUCUGCAGCCACCGUGCACUCUGAAGACUCUUGCUCCAAACUCAAACCCCACGAAGAUCAAAAGAUCCCUGAAUUCAGGUUCCAAAGAGACACAGACGUUAUUGCAACAUCCUGACCCAUCUCGGACAUGAAUUCCAUUAAAGUUCCAUGAAAGAUAUCCCCAUCCUACAGAUGAGGAAACUGAGGCCCCUGAUGGUUAAAUAACUUGUCUGCAGUCGCACAGAAAGUGGCAGAGCUGAGUUGAUCCAUGAUCCAUCUGCCUCCCAAGAUCUUCGUAAGACACAACACCUCAUCCCAGGGAGCAAGUUGCUGAAGGAUGAAAAGAAAAAAUUCCACACUAGGGUAAAAAAAUGAUUCAGCAUCAGACCUUUCCUCCACAUUCCCAAAUGACAGACCCCAGUGGAGCCUUCUCCAUGGAACAGGAGAAGCAGUGACCCAAUAAUCUAUCCCUGCCAAGAAGCUGCUCAUUGAUGAAGCUAAGAAAAGGAAUUUUCAAAAGGCAAGGAGUUUGAAAGUAUAUCCUUCACUUGCCCUUGAGGAAUUAAACAGUGACCUUCAAAGAAGUUCUCUAGACAAGUAAAAACUCUAUCAAAAUACACAAAAACCAAAAAGAGUAUUGAUGUUAAAGAUAUAUAAUAUACAUUUAACCUCGCUAAUAAACAAGGAAAUGUAAGUUAAAAUAAAUGAGGCAUCAUGUUUGCCUAUUGAUAUGUUAAUUAUUUGUUUGAUUUAAGUUCAUAGUUGCUUAUCUGACAUUCCUGAAGUCAGAUGUGUCUGUAAAUUUAGAAAUUUUCAGAUUCUAGAAAGGAAUGUUAGUGCACAUGGGGAACAUUGGCAACCAUCCCACUAGGGUCUGAAUGUUGGUGUCACACAGAGCACCCUAGUCCCCUCCUCCAUGUGAGGACACAGUGAGAAGUCUGCAUCUUGUAAGAUGGCCUCCACCCAACCCUGCUGGCACCCUGAUCUCAGACUUCCA
This is a long non-coding RNA of Aethalodelphis obliquidens (Pacific white-sided dolphin), 3640 nucleotides long. RefSeq lists it as uncharacterized. NCBI's taxonomy places the organism in Eukaryota, Metazoa, Chordata, Mammalia, Artiodactyla, Delphinidae. The transcript is spliced from 4 exons. The record is from RefSeq and is a predicted model, not a curated record.